This is a long non-coding RNA of Pyrus x bretschneideri (Chinese white pear), 689 nucleotides long. RefSeq lists it as uncharacterized. The record is from RefSeq and is a predicted model, not a curated record. NCBI's taxonomy places the organism in Eukaryota, Viridiplantae, Streptophyta, Magnoliopsida, Rosales, Rosaceae. The transcript has 2 exons.
AACCAGUUGAAAUCCUUUUAUUAUUCAAAACUUCGAUCCAUUGCUUUUACUUGUGAAUUCAAAUGAGGUAUUUAAAGAAUGGACACUCCAAGACUCAACGUCUUUACUCUAUUUCUGUUCGAGUCUUUCUCUCUCCUAGAGAAAUUUAUUUAUAAAUGCAUGGGCUCCCUCAGCAUUUUGAUUCACUCUUUUGGUUGAAUCAAAACCAAAUGGGUCAAGAGUAGAUAGGGUUAUGGGGGUCUUUGGGAGUUGCGGCGGGUAAUCGUGCAUGGGUGAGUAGCUCCUGUUGGAGAAGCAGGGCACGUGCAAAUUCUAGCUCAGGCACUCCUCCAUGGGAGCUUAGCUUAAGCUUUAACAAGGCUUUGCACGUGCUCCCCUUCUCCAACACAAGUUUCUCACCUCUCUUUCUUCCUCACUCAUUUCUGCAUGCUCAGCUCGACCAACCAGACCAGCCUUGUGAACGCUAUCUCCCUCUCUCUCUCUCAGAGCAUGAGGAUGUCAAAUAUGGGACGGUGACCAUGAUCACAAAGACACUGAAUUCUGCAUGUACAAGACACAGAUGAGGCGUGCGGUGCUGUCAAAUUUAUGGGCGGUUGUAUCCAUUUCAAGCCCUAAAUUUUUUCUUUAUGUUCCCUAUAACGCUAGCUUGUAUACAUUUCUGCUUCAAUAAUAACCUCACCUCAGCACAA